Molecule: ribosomal RNA, 227 nt
Filed under: uncultured bacterium
Lineage: Bacteria
Description: partial 16S ribosomal RNA
Rfam family: Bacterial small subunit ribosomal RNA
Source: RNAcentral
UGCGUAACACGUAUCCAACCUGCCGUCUACUCUUGGACAGCCUUCUGAAAGGAAGAUUAAUACAAGAUGGCAUCAUGAGUCCGCAUGUUCACAUGAUUAAAGGUAUUCCGGUAGACGAUGGGGAUGCGUUCCAUUAGAUAGUAGGCGGGGUAACGGCCCACCUAGUCUUCGAUGGAUAGGGGUUCUGAGAGGAAGGUCCCCCACAUUGGAACUGAGACACGGUCCAA